GACGAACGGCUGGGCGGCGUGCCUAACACAUGCAAGUCGAGCGGAGUUGAUCGACGGAAGCUUUCGGGCGGAAGAUGAUUAACUUAGCGGCGGAUGGGUGAGUAACGCGUGGGCAACCUGCCUCGAAGACCGGGAUAACAGUUCGAAAGGGCUGCUAAUACCGGAUGUGGUCAAGUGUCAGCAUGGGCAUUUGAUUAAAGGGGAAACCCGUUUCGAGAUGGGCCCGCGUCCUAUCAGCUAGUUGGUGAGGUAAAGGCUCACCAAGGCAAUGACGGGUAGCCGGCCUGAGAGGGUGACCGGCCACACUGGAACUGAGACACGGUCCAGACUCCUACGGGGGGCAGCAGUGGGGAAUCUUCCACAAUGGGCGAAAGCCUGAUGGAGCGACGCCGCGUGAGCGAAGAAGGUCUUCGGGUUGUAAAGCUCUGUCUGGAGGGACGAAGAAAGUGACGGUACCUCCGGAGGAAGCCACGGCUAACUACGUG
RNAcentral lists this ribosomal RNA (485 nucleotides) under uncultured bacterium. RNAcentral's name for it is "bacterial SSU rRNA". It matches the Rfam family "Bacterial small subunit ribosomal RNA", at positions 38 to 507 of the family's 1533-position model. The record is from RNAcentral.